RNAcentral lists this ribosomal RNA (456 nucleotides) under uncultured organism. RNAcentral's name for it is "partial 16S ribosomal RNA". It matches the Rfam family "Bacterial small subunit ribosomal RNA", at positions 329 to 801 of the family's 1533-position model. The record is from RNAcentral.
ACGUACACUCCUACGGGAGGCAGCAGUGGGGAAUAUUGGACAAUGGGCGCAAGCCUGAUCCAGCCAUGCCGCGUGAGUGAUGAAGGCCCUAGGGUUGUAAAGCUCUUUCACCGGUGAAGAUAAUGACGGUAACCGGAGAAGAAGCCCCGGCUAACUUCGUGCCAGCAGCCGCGGUAAUACGAAGGGGGCUAGCGUUGUUCGGAUUUACUGGGCGUAAAGCGCACGUAGGCGGACUAUUAAGUCAGGGGUGAAAUCCCGGGGCUCAACCCCGGAACUGCCUUUGAUACUGGUAGUCUUGAGUUCGAGAGAGGUGAGUGGAAUUCCGAGUGUAGAGGUGAAAUUCGUAGACAUUCGGAGGAACACCAGUGGCGAAGGCGGCUCACUGGUUCGAUACUGACGCUGAGGUGCGAAAGCGUGGGGAGCAAACAGGAUUAGAUACCCGAGUAGUCCCAUGAU